CUAAGGAAUUUAACGGAAACCCACACAUUCGUACUUACUUUGUUUAGUUUUGAGAGGUCAAAAAUCUUUCAUAAUUAAUUUAAAUAUGCUCUUGGGGCCUUAGCUCAGCUGGGAGAGCGCCUGCCUUGCACGCAGGAGGUCAGCGGUUCGAUCCCGCUAGGCUCCAUUGCAACUAAUGUUGCAAAAAAAGUUGUUCUUUGAAAACUGGAUAAAGUUAAAAAUUGUAACUCAAGUAAGAAACCAGAAACACACCGAAAAGUUUUAAAAAUGAGUUUUUUAAGGUUCUCAUCGUAAGAUGAGUAUUGAACAUUAACGAUUAACCAUA
This 325-nucleotide transfer RNA is filed under the name Carnobacterium inhibens subsp. inhibens DSM 13024. RNAcentral describes it as "medium 16S-23S rRNA intergenic spacer". The stretch from base 94 to 166 matches the Rfam family "tRNA". Lineage: Bacteria; Bacillati; Bacillota; Bacilli; Lactobacillales; Carnobacteriaceae. The record is from RNAcentral.